UGGGGAAUUGUUAACAAUGGGCGCAAGCCUGAUGACGCAACGCCGCGUGGAGGAUGAAGGUCUUCGGAUUGUAAACUCCUGUUGCCAGGGACGAAUGGCUCCGACCUAAUACGUCGGAGAAUGACGGUACCUGGUGAGGAAGCCCCGGCUAACUCUGUGCCAGCAGCCGCGGUAAUACAGAGGGGGCAAGCGUUGUUCGGAAUUACUGGGCGUAAAGGGCGCGUAGGCGGCCUUCUAAGUCGAACGUGAAAUCCCCGGGCUCAACCCGGGAACUGCGUCCGAUACUGGGAGGCUUGAAUCCGGGAGAGGGAUGUGGAAUUCCAGGUGUAGCGGUGAAAUGCGUAGAUAUCUGGAGGAACACCGGUGGCGAAGGCGGCAUCCUGGACCGGUAUUGACGCUGAGGCGCGAAAGCCAGGGGAGCAAACGGG
This 428-nucleotide ribosomal RNA is filed under the name Acidobacteriota bacterium. RNAcentral's name for it is "Acidobacteria bacterium partial 16S ribosomal RNA". It matches the Rfam family "Bacterial small subunit ribosomal RNA", at positions 355 to 776 of the family's 1533-position model. Lineage: Bacteria; Pseudomonadati; Acidobacteriota. The record is from RNAcentral.